GCCGCAGGCAAGGGACUAAGGGGAGGGGGGCUCAGUGCCAGCUGCUUAAAAAUGCCCCUGUGGCAGCGAGGGGCACCAGAGGCUGGGUCUAAUUAGUUGAGAAGCAGUGACACCCCCAACCACUCCCCAAACAGGCUGGCUCCCGUCUCCAGGCCCCAAGGAGCCACACCUGGACCAGACCCCAGGAAAGACAUGUGGUGGAAACCCUACGGCCCUGGAGCCCAAGGAGAGCAACGGCUGUAACAAGUGCACAGGCAAGGGCGCUAGCUGGUGGGAGCCACCCCGCCAUGCUGAUGUCAGAGAAGCAAGAACUCUGGAGAAGCAGCCUCCUGGGACCAGAGGAGGGCCAGCAGCAGGCAGCCCGGAGACAGAACUAAUGUGUCUGGGGGUGAGAGGACGGGUGUGACUGCUGAAACUUCCUUUCUUGGUGAUUCCACAUCACUCCUUUCUGAUCCCUGAGCCUGUGCCACGCCCUGUGUGAUGUGCCGGGGACACCAGGCUCACCCACGCCUCUCCAAGCCUCCCAACAGAAGACAGAGGUCCCCCACAGCCAGAGACAUUUCCUGAAGACAUGGGGAACACAGAGGCAGAAACAGCCCAUCCACCCAGGAGCUGUCCCCCACACUGCCGGGAGCCGGCACCCAGAGCCGCCAGGUAAAACUGAGGCCACCUGGUUCAACAUCACCUUUCACAGAAGGGGAAGCAGCCACAGAAAGAAGGGCCUCGUUAAGAAGUGGAACCUGGGACCCCCAAGCGGUGUCUCUCAUCCUGACUGGGGAUCCAGAGUAGGAGGGAGCCUUUGGUGGGGUAAGUGGAAUGGGGCGGGGUGGGGGGUGGCCAUAGACCCCUCUUCUCAGUAAGGCCCUCAUGUGAAGGAGGCAGGGGUUGGGACAAGUGCUAAGUAUGCAAGACUCAAGGGAAGAGCUGCUGGAGCCAGGAGAAGCACCUCCCUCCCGGCCCCUCUGCCCCUCCUCAUAGCCCAGCUGCACUGACUCCUCCUCCAGGAAGCCUUCUCAGCUUCCCCAGGGGUGGGAACCUUUUUGUCCUCCAGGUGUGCUUGGCUGUCCUUUCUUGGGCUCUCUCUCUCUCUCUCUCCUCAUCCCACUUGAGUCUGCCCCCUAUUCACCUUGUGAGGGGAAUUUUCCUUCUACUCAAUCUGACCGAGGUCCUCCAGGUCAAGGACAGCGAGGCUCUCAGUCCCACUUCCCCUUGGCACAUAGAAGAGGCAGUGCGCUGAAGGGACAGGUGAAAUGAUUAGACCCUGCCCCCAAACCAAGGCCUGGCCAAUUGGACAGGGCAUGAGACAUUCAGCGUAGAGGUUAAAACGAGGGCCCUGGGUUAGGAACCCCAGCUCAGUUCUCAGCUCUGUACCCUUGGAAAAUUCCCUUCCCAUGGAGCUUUGUGGAUGCACAAGGA
Molecule: long non-coding RNA, 1416 nt
Filed under: Homo sapiens (human)
Lineage: Eukaryota; Metazoa; Chordata; Mammalia; Primates; Hominidae
Description: long non-coding RNA NONHSAT203408.1
Source: RNAcentral